GGAAGGCGGCGAUUUUUUUUUUCCCCUUCCCUCUCGGAGAAACAAGUUUUCCGGGCAGCCAGCCUAACUGCUCCUGCUUCGCAGCCUUCGGUGGGUGGGGGAAGAAGUAGCAUUUUUUUUUUUGUUUUGUUUUUAAAACCCGACAUCCUGUAUCCGUUUCUGAAAGUUUCUGGGGCCUCGGGGCGAAGAGUUGAAACUUAGCGCUUGCCGGAUGCACCAUGUUUGCUGCAAAAAAAAGGAAGCCAGCGAGCAAAGGCCAGGGCGCAGCGACGGCUAAACAGCUUGGCUUGUUUGUAGACUUUUCAUGUGAAGAUAUGAUGAUGAAUACAGAAGAGGAUGGUGAUGAUGAAGACCUAGAAGCAGAAUUAGCUGAAAUAACUGGAAAGAAGCCUGUUGCUAAGCCAAAGCCUAAAGAAAAAACAACUUUGCCAAUGGACCAAAUAGAACAAAUGGCUGAGGAAUGUAUGAAGGAUGUAGAUGAAAAUGAAGAUGAGGACGAUGAUUUGGAAAAUGAUGAAGAGCUCUUGGCAGAGCUGAAGGAAGUGGUUCAGGAGGAGGAGGAAGAAUCUACAAAUUCACCUGGUCCCACAGAGCCUGCUCCAGAAGCAAUGAAUCAACUUGCUUCUCAGCCUCAGUUAAGUGCAGUUUCUGUGAAUUCUGGUGGAUUACAAGAUACACUGGAAGAUAGACUCCAGAUGUAUAGGGUUGCAAUUAGUAAUGCAAAGCAAACUGGAGAGACAUCAAAAAUGAGGAGAUAUGAACGAGCACUGAAGACAUUACAGACUAUGCUGGCUUCUGCAAAGAAAGGUAAAAAGAUAGAGGAAACAGAAAUUCCUCCUCCAGUUGCUACUGGCAAAAGCAGUGCCACGGUGCUCCAACCUGAUGGCUUAAGUGCAAAAUGUUUGGAAGCUGAAUAUGUGGAAGAUGGAAUAACUGAAAUGCAUCAGGAUAUACCAAGACCAGCAAAUGAGAGACUUCUACCUAAACCUAGUGUUUCUGUGUUACCUGUGAUGUCUUCAGUGUCUGAACCUCCAAGCAUCGCAGAGUCUGUAACUUCUGUUCAGUCAAAGACCAUUGAUGCAUCCACUACUGAUGAUGCAGCAAUUAAUGACAGCUCAGGGUGUGAUGAUACAAAGACAAAAAUAUUAUUGAUUGGAAGACAGAAGGAGUAUAAAUUGGCUGCACUGAGAGCAAAACAGCAAGGAGACAUCACAAAGGCUAAAGAAUACAUGAAAACCAGCAAAAAAUUUGAUGUUGUGAUUAAGGCUUUGGACAGUGGGGAGCCUGUGGAUCUGAGUAAUCUGCCACCAUCACUAACAGAUACUUCAGCCCAAGAAAAAUCACUAAGUCCUUCCAGUGUACUAACUCUUCCUGAUCAACAAAGAAUCGAUCCCAAAGCUGAACCUCAAGUCACUAUAGAAUCUGGCCUACCUUCACCACCCAAAGAUGUUCUGGAGGCUCUACAUCAAAGAAUGGAGAAAUACAAAACAGCAGCAGCUCAAGCUAGAACUGAUGGGAAUGACCGUAAAGCAAGGAUGCAUCAGAGAAUAGCAAAGCAAUAUCAAGAUGCCAUCCGAGCACACACAGCUGGAAGAAAAGUGGAUUUUGCAGAUCUUCCUGCACCCCCAGGAUUCCCACCAAUACCAGGAGUGGAAGAAGCAUCUGGAGAUCGUGGUAUUGCUGGAACGCUUGAAGCUGCAUCCAGACUAGCUACUGCAGAAGUUGAGGAGGAGGACGAGGCAGCAGAAGAUGAGAGUGGAACCCCUCAAACAGCUACACAAUCUUCAAUUGCAAAGAAGCCAGCAAAGACUACAGAUCAUGGAGUACAAACGGCUGGGCCAACAUUGACCUUACCAGCUGCAUCAGAGGAAAUGAAAUCCCCAAAACCAUUAAAGAAGCCAACACCAAAUGAUCACCUGAUUCAACUCAGUUCAGUCGCUCAGCAACAAUUGGAAUUUCUUCAGAUUAGGAAGAAACAGUACAUGAGAGCUGCUGUGCAAGCAAAGCAAAAGAAGAAUCUGGAACAAGCAAAACAUUUCCUUAGAACUGCAAAAGGCUUUGAUCCAAUGAUUGUGGCUGUCCAAAGUGGGAAACCAAUUGAUAUUUCUAAGGUUCCUUCACCCCCUGAGGCUGAAGAUGAUGAUGACUUUAUAAUGGUGCAUCACAAAGAUGUGCUAAUUUUACCAAAGAUGGAUGAAGUGUACAUACACCUUAUGAACCUUCUGAAGGAGCAGUAUGAGAAAUGUAUGUCCUAUUCCGAGCAAUUUAUACAUCUUGGUAACGUGGCCGAGACAACAAGAUUUGAAAAGAUGGCCGCAGAUUGCCAAAAAAAUAUUGAAAUCCUUAAACUGGGGCAAGCUCAAGGUUUGGAUCCACCAAAGUACCAUUUUGAGGAGAGAACCUUUAAAACUGUACGCAUAUUUUCAGACAUCAGCAGUACUGAAAUGCUUCUUAUCGUUGUAAAAGGAAUAAAUCUUCCUGCACCUUCAGGUGUGGCAACACAUGACCUUGAUGCUUUAGUGAAGUUUGAAUUUCAGUAUCCUAGUAUGGAGCAAGCCCAACGAAACAAAACGACUGUGAUCAAGAAUACUAAUUGUCCAGAAUAUAAUCAGAGUUUUAUGCUCAAUAUUAACAGAAAUCAUCGAGGAUUUAAACGAAUAAUUCAGACCAAAGGAAUUAAAUUUGAAAUAUUUCAUAAGGGUGGAUUUUUAAGGAGUGACAAACCAGUGGGAACUGCACAACUAAAACUGGACAAAUUAGAAACAGAAUGUGAGGUCAGAGAAAUUGUUGAGAUUUUUGAUGGCAGAAAAUCUACUGGUGGUCGAUUAGAACUGAAAGUUCAGAUCAGAGAACCUCUUAGCGGACAAGAUUUGCAAAUUAAUACAGAAAAAUGGCUGAUCCUUGAUCCAGCCACUAGGGCACAGGACUGAAGUAACUAUGCCAGGUCAAAUGAUAAAAUCUAUGCACCUCUUUUGUGACUGCUACAGUAAAGAACAGUUCUAGAAGGAAUUGCUGCUAUUGGGAAUGCUAUAUAUACAAUGCCAAAGAUGUGAAAGUGUAUUUAAAGCUGUGUCUUUUUAUUGCAAAUCAGCACAUUCUACUACAAACUACUUUGCUUUGCCCUGUUUCUUUAAAGACAUAUCGGAACAAUGGAAUUUGCAUUAAAAAGGGAGAAACGUGUUAGAUCUCAGCAUUCCUUCUCCUCUGACACCACCUCAUCUUUAUACAAGAGUGAAAAGCCUCUAGCCUCUGUACAUCAAGUUGCUAUCUACAGGAACCGAAGUUGAGAAAACUCACCCUGCCCAGGGACAUUCAAAGUAUCAUGCUCCUUUGCCUAGGAAUUCAUUUGCCCAAGAUUCUGCUUCAUGCCAGCACCAAGAAUACUUUUCUGUACUUGGGCGACUGUCCAUAAUAGAAGCAGUUUCCUUCCAUGGAGGCUUUAAACACUGAUCCCUGUUUAUUUGAACAGUUAUUACCUGAGGUGCUCAUGCACCAGCAAAUACAGUUAAUACAGCUGAUACCAAAUGCAGUAUGGCUGAGGAAGUCAUUAAAAGAUCUUUUACUUUUA
This is an RNA transcript of Carcharodon carcharias (great white shark), 3568 nucleotides long. It is a transcript of the gene named coiled-coil and C2 domain containing 1B, with no coding region annotated. Lineage: Eukaryota; Metazoa; Chordata; Chondrichthyes; Lamniformes; Lamnidae. The record is from RefSeq and is a predicted model, not a curated record. The transcript has 27 exons.